Molecule: ribosomal RNA, 102 nt
Filed under: Providencia sp.
Lineage: Bacteria; Pseudomonadati; Pseudomonadota; Gammaproteobacteria; Enterobacterales; Morganellaceae
Also listed under: 1 other name
Source: RNAcentral
CGCGGUGGUCCCACCUGACCCCAUGCCGAACUCAGUAGUGAAACGCCGUAGCGCCGAUGGUAGUGUGGGGUCUCCCCAUGUGAGAGUAGGGAACUGCCAGAC